This 1145-nucleotide ribosomal RNA is filed under the name uncultured organism. Its description in RNAcentral is "bacterial SSU rRNA". It matches the Rfam family "Bacterial small subunit ribosomal RNA", at positions 288 to 1435 of the family's 1533-position model. The record is from RNAcentral.
GGGUCUGAGAGGAUGAUCCCCCACACUGGUACUGAGACACGGACCAGACUCCUACGGGAGGCAGCAGUGAGGAAUAUUGGUCAAUGGGCGAAAGCCUGAACCAGCCAUGCCGCGUGCAGGAUGACGGCGCUAUGCGUUGUAAACUGCUUUUCUGCUCCAAGAACCCCCCGAUCGUGAUCGGGGUUGACGGUAGAGCAGGAAUAAGCAUCGGCUAACUCCGUGCCAGCAGCCGCGGUAAUACGGAGGAUGCAAGCGUUAUCCGGAUUUAUUGGGGUUUUAAAGGGUGCGUAGGCGGGAUAAUAAGUCAGUGGUGAAAUCCUGCGGCUUAACCGUAGAAUUGUCAUUGAUACUGUUAUUCUUGAGUUCAGUUGAGGUGGCCGGAAUGUAUAAUGUAGCGGUGAAAUGCUUAGAUAUUAUACAGAACACCGAUUGCGAAGGCAGCUCACUAAGCUGAUACUGACGCUGAGGCACGAAAGCGUGGGGAGCGAACAGGAUUAGAUACCCUGGUAGUCCACGCUGUAAACGAUGAUCACUCGCUGUUGGCAAUACAUCGUCAGCGGCUGAGCGAAAGCAUUAAGUGAUCCACCUGGGGAGUACGUCGGCAACGAUGAAACUCAAAGGAAUUGACGGGGGCCCGCACAAGCGGUGGAACAUGUGGUUUAAUUCGAUGAUACGCGAGGAACCUUACCUGGGCUUAAAUGCAGAACGACGGUUCCCGAAAGGGAUCCUUCUUCGGACGGACUGCAAGGUGCUGCAUGGUUGUCGUCAGCUCGUGCCGUGAGGUGUCGGGUUAAGUCCCAUAACGAGCGCAACCCCUAUUGUUAGUUGCCAGCGAGUAAUGUCGGGGACUCUAACGAAACUGCCGGUGUAAACCGAGAGGAAGGUGGGGAUGACGUCAAAUCAGCACGGCCCUUAUGUCCAGGGCUACACACGUGUUACAAUGGUCGAUACAGAGAGAAGCUACUUGGCGACAAGAUGCUAAUCUCGAAAAUCGUUCUUAGUUCGGAUUGGAGUCUGCAACUCGACUUCAUGAAGCUGGAAUCGCUAGUAAUCGCACAUCAGCCAUGGUGCGGUGAUACGUUCCCGGGCAUUGUACACACCGCCCGUCAAGCCAUGGAAGCCGGGGGUACCUAAAGUCCGUAACC